This 399-nucleotide ribosomal RNA is filed under the name uncultured bacterium. RNAcentral's name for it is "partial 16S ribosomal RNA". It matches the Rfam family "Bacterial small subunit ribosomal RNA", at positions 338 to 734 of the family's 1533-position model. The record is from RNAcentral.
CCUACGGGAGGCAGCAGUGAGGAAUAUUGGUCAAUGGGCGCGAGCCUGAACCAGCCAAGUAGCGUGAAGGAUGACUGCCCUACGGGUUGUAAACUUCUUUUAUAAAGGAAUAAAGUGAGGCACGUGUGCCUUUUUGUAUGUACCUUAUGAAUAAGGAUCGGCUAACUCCGUGCCAGCAGCCGCGGUAAUACGGAGGAUCCGAGCGUUAUCCGGAUUUAUUGGGUUUAAAGGGAGCGUAGGAGGGUUGUUAAGUCAGUUGUGAAAGUUUGCGGCUCAACCGUAGAAUUGCAAUUGUAACUGGCAGCCUUGAGUACAUUUGCGGUAGGCGGAAUUCGUGGUGUAGCGGUGAAAUGCUUAGAUAUCACGCAGAACCCCGAUUGCGAAGGCAGCUUACUAAGC